This 208-nucleotide long non-coding RNA is filed under the name Vigna radiata. RNAcentral describes it as "long non-coding RNA (VRAD_LNC016905)". Lineage: Eukaryota; Viridiplantae; Streptophyta; Magnoliopsida; Fabales; Fabaceae. The record is from RNAcentral.
UAGAAAACCAAAAACCAAACUUUGUAAAACCACAUUCAUAUCCAUUCGUUUUCUUUGAGGUUGCUUGAAUAUCAUUGUGAUGGAAUGAAGAUGACUCGAAGAAUGCCAGACACAAAAAAUGUCUCUGAUGCAAAAAAAAAAUAAAAAAAUAAAAAAAAUCAAUGAGUAAUCCUCCUUGCACUGGAUCUCAUCCUGCAUCUCCUACUUC